RNAcentral lists this ribosomal RNA (776 nucleotides) under uncultured Neocallimastigales. RNAcentral's name for it is "partial large subunit ribosomal RNA". It matches the Rfam family "Eukaryotic large subunit ribosomal RNA", at positions 23 to 620 of the family's 3401-position model. The record is from RNAcentral. Lineage: Eukaryota; Fungi; Neocallimastigomycota; Neocallimastigomycetes; Neocallimastigales.
CAGAGAGAGACAUGCGCGCAUAUCAAUAAGCGGAGGAAAAGAAACUAACAAGGAUUCCCUUAGUAACGGCGAGUGAAGCGGGAAGAGCUCAAAUUUGAAAUCUUCAAGGUUUUACCUUGACGAAUUGUAGUUUAAAGAAGUGUUUUCUGCUGAAGUUUUGGUAAAAGUUCUUUGGAAUAGGACAUCAUAGAGGGUGAGAAUCCCGUAUUUGACCAUUAUUUUCAGCUUUGUGAUACACUUUCAAAGAGUCGGAUUGUUUGGGAAUGCAGUCCAAAAUGGGUGGUAAAUUUCAUCUAAAGCUAAAUAUUGGCGAGAGACCGAUAGCGAACAAGUACCGUGAGGGAAAGAUGAAAAGAACUUUGAAAAGAGAGUUAAACAGUACGUGAAAUUGUCAAAAGGGAAGCGUUUGACACCAGUGUUGUUUUCUCGAAAAUCAAUUAAAAAUGGCUCGAUUUUGUAUUGCUUGAGACCUUAAAAGCUCACUGUACAUUUUUCGUGUCUUUUUUAAUGCACUUUUCGUUUAACAAGUCAACAUCAGUUUCUUUUGUUGUAAAAGGGUCAUUGGAAGGUGGCUUUCCUUUCGGAGAAAGUGUUUAUAGCCUUUGGCCUCUGCAAUCGGAGAGACUGAGGUCUGCAGCGUAGACUCUUCGGGGUUAGAUACAUUUGUGCUAAGUUAUAGCUUUUUAUAGACAACUUGUUGACUAUAAUUAGUCUUGUAGCUUACUCGCUUAUGCUAUUUUACCUACGCUUAGGAUGUUGAAGAUGUAGCACAUCAU